This 440-nucleotide long non-coding RNA is filed under the name Physcomitrium patens. RNAcentral describes it as "long non-coding RNA (PPAT_LNC004190)". The record is from RNAcentral. Lineage: Eukaryota; Viridiplantae; Streptophyta; Bryopsida; Funariales; Funariaceae.
ACAUCAUGAUAGAGAGCACUUAUAAUCUUUGCACUCAAAUAAGAUAGUAGACUUUGACUUUGAAUUAAUUAUCGGGGUCUCAACAAGCACACUAUCAAGAAUACAUAUCCAGUUCUAUAUGUGGAUGUGAUUGCUCGUUUUACUUAUUCCGGAAGAAACCUCUUAGAAUAAACCCAUAUAGAGAGAUUCAAACAUAGAAAAUGACUAGUUGCUUAAGCGUUCACGUUAGGGUCACAUAAUCAAUUACCUCCUGAAUGUAUCAUCUCUAUUUUCAAUAUCUGAACACACAAGGAAACUAUAAUCUCUUCCUUCACCUUAUUGAUCUCUUCCUUAUAACAAUUCAAUCAUACGAUUAACUACUAUUUCUACCAAUAUAUUCACCCUCAUAAUCUCCAACUGUAAUACUGCGCCAUCAUAGCUUUCAACACACAAUUACCCUU